This is a long non-coding RNA of Homo sapiens (human), 940 nucleotides long. Ensembl annotates it as long intergenic non-protein coding RNA 240. NCBI's taxonomy places the organism in Eukaryota, Metazoa, Chordata, Mammalia, Primates, Hominidae. The record is from Ensembl.
GGAUGUCCUUUACAAGAGCAGAUCCCCCAAAAUGUAAGAGUUCACUGAAAAGGUAGGAGCUCAAACCAAGAGAGGACUUAUCUCGCAGCAUAAAGACAACUUGUACAAGUGAAGAUCACAAUGGGCUCAGAAAUGCUUGAGUGUCUCCAUUGUCAAAACGAUCAGAAGGCAGUAAUUGUAUUUCCAAUGUGAGGACAAACAAUACUAGAUAUCCUGCAAUCCUACAUUGUAAAAAAUAUUCCCAUCAAAUGCCCCAAUGGAUAGACACGAGAAGCCAGCUCCCAUGUUAAGAAGUUCAAAUACCUAGAGACUGCGAUGGUUUGCAGAGGCUCAAGCUAACCACAUGGAAAGACAUGGAGAGAUAUUCCUUGCCAACCCUCAACUACUCCAACUAUUCUAAGACAUCAAACCUGUGAGUGAAAAAGCCAUCUCAUACCUUACAACUCUAGCAGAUGCCACAUAGUGUAGAGAUAAGCUCUCUCUGUCAUUCUCUGUCAAAAUUGUAAAAUCAUAAGCAAAUAAAUAAUCACAGUUGCUUCAAGUUACUACAUUUGAGCAUAGUAUUUUAAGCCACUGCAUUUGAGAUGGUUUGUUAUACAGCAAUAGAUAACUAAAAAACAAAGUCCCUUGAUUUAGACUUGUCCACUCAACUUGCUUGGCCAAUGGAAUGGGGUAGAAGUGAUGGUGUGCUUAUUCCCAGCCUGGGCCUUAAAAGGCUUUGCCUAUUUCCACUUGCCUUCUUGUACUUCUGCUAUUGUCAUAAGAAAAACAAACCGCAGGUCACCCACCGGUCUGAAGAGGAGGAUGAGAGACAAAGAAAAAAGUUGUCUGGCUGCCUCUGCUGUCUACAGAUUGAAGAAGAUCCAUCCAGCUGAGCCCAGCCUAGACCAGCUGACUUCUCCAAUAAGCCUGUAUGAAAUAAAUGCUUAUUGUUAUGUGA